This 574-nucleotide long non-coding RNA is filed under the name Homo sapiens (human). RNAcentral's name for it is "IER3 antisense RNA 1 (IER3-AS1)". Lineage: Eukaryota; Metazoa; Chordata; Mammalia; Primates; Hominidae. The record is from RNAcentral.
GUGAUUGCCACAUCUCGGAUUCGCCGCGGGGCAACUACCUGGGAAAACCGCAGACUGGGCAAUGAAAGACUACAUCCGGCAACCGGAUGCUGGGUUCUGUGACUCCAGGAAAAGGGGCUCCUGGGCCCAGGGAGAACAUACUAGGCGAUCUCGACAGUCGCUCCGUGACAGCCCACCAACCCCCAACCCUCUACCUCGCAGCCACCCUAAAGGCGACUUCAAGAAGAUGGAAGGAUCUCACGGAUCUCAUUCCUAAUGGUCCGCCGAAGUCUCACACAGUAGACAGACGGAGUUGAGAUGCUGGAGGAUGCAGUCACCUCCUAAACUUACGACCCACCACCAGACUUCAUCCCAGCCGGGACGUCCUCCCCCACCCGAGUCCUCCCCAUUUCUUCUCCUACUUUGCCGCAGUUCCAGGUGUCCUGCUUCCACCAGUCCCACAAAGCUCAAUAAAUACCAAGAGACCUGCAUUUACAGCAGGGGGAACAUCUCACACCCUUGCAUAAGUUAAAAUAAAUAUUACGUACACAUCUCCAUCACCUAGGAGGACGUACAUAAAUACAUAUAAAUAUUA